UGGGGGAUUUAAUUGGGCGUAAAGGGUCCGUAGGCGGCUGGGUAAGUCGGAUGUGAAAGCUCGCAGCUUAACUGCGAUAGGUCAUUCGAAACUGCUCAGCUUGAGGACUGGAGAGGAGACUGGAAUUGUCGGUGUAGCGGUGAAAUGCGUAGAUAUCGACAAGAACACCGGUGGCGAAGGCGGGUCUCUGGACAGUUCCUGACGCUCAGGGACGAAAGCUAGGGGAGCAAACGGGAUUAGAUACCCCGGUAGUCCUAGCCCUAAACGGUGCUCACUUGGUGUGCGGGGAGUCGACCCCCUGCGUGCCGAAGCUAACGCGUUAAGUGAGCCGCCUGGGAAGUACGGUCGCAAGAUUAAAACUCAAAGAAAUUGACGGGGGCCCGCACAAGCGGUGGAGCGUGUGGCUUAAUUCGAUGCAACGCGAAGAACCUUACCUGGCCUUGACAUGCUGGUAGUAGAAGCCCGAAAGGGUGACGAUUCCUCGCAAGAGGAGAGCCAGCACAGGUGCUGCAUGGUUGUCGUCAGCUCGUGUCGUGAGAUGUUGGCUUAAGUGCCGCAACGAGCGCAACCCCUGCCCUUAGUUGCCAACAUUUUAGUUGGGCACUCUAGGGGGACUGCCCGCGUCAAGCGGGAGGAAGGUGGGGACGACGUCAAGUCCUCAUGGCCCUUAUGUCCAGGGCUACACACGUGCUACAAUGGCGUGAACAAAGGGACGCAAACCCGCGAGGGGGAGCCAAUCCCAAAAAACACGCCCCAGUUCAGAUCGAAGGCUGCAACUCGCCUUCGUGAAGUUGGAAUCGCUAGUAAUCGCGGGUCAGCAACACCGCGGUGAAUGUGUUCCUGAGCCUUGUACACACCGCCCGUCAAGCCACGAAAGGGAGGGAUAUCCGAAGUCGCUGUGCUAACCGCAAGGGGGCAGGCGCCGACGAUAGACUUCCUGAUUGGGACUAAGUCGUAACAAGGUAACC
Molecule: ribosomal RNA, 968 nt
Filed under: uncultured bacterium
Lineage: Bacteria
Description: bacterial SSU rRNA
Rfam family: Bacterial small subunit ribosomal RNA
Source: RNAcentral